AGGGAUCAUUACCGAGUUUACAACUCCCAAACCCAAUGUGAACGUUACCAAACUGUUGCCUCGGCGGGAUCUCUGCCCCGGGUGCGUCGCAGCCCCGGACCAAGGCGCCCGCCGGAGGACCAACCAAAACUCUUAUUGUAUACCCCCUCGCGGGUUUUUUACUAUCUGAGCCAUCUCGGCGCCCCUCGUGGGCGUUUCGAAAAUGAAUCAAAACUUUCAACAACGGAUCUCUUGGCUCUGGCAUCGAUGAAGAACGCAGCGAAAUGCGAUAAGUAAUGUGAAUUGCAGAAUUCAAGUGAAUCAUCGAAUCUUUGAACGCACAUUGCGCCCGCCAGUAUUCUGGCGGGCAUGCCUGUCCGAGCGUCAUUUCAACCCUCGAACCCCUCCGGGGGGUCGGCGUUGGGGAUCGGCCCUUUACGGGGCCGGCCCCGAAAUACAGUGGCGGUCUCGCCGCAGCCUCUCCUGCGCAGUAGUUUGCACACUCGCAUCGGGAGCGCGGCGCGUCCACAGCCGUUAAACACCCCAAACUUCUGAAAUGUUGACCUCGGAUCAGGUAGGAAUACCCGCUGAACUUAAGCAUAU
Molecule: ribosomal RNA, 582 nt
Filed under: Trichoderma virens
Lineage: Eukaryota; Fungi; Ascomycota; Sordariomycetes; Hypocreales; Hypocreaceae
Description: eukaryotic LSU rRNA
Rfam family: 5.8S ribosomal RNA (bases 212-366)
Source: RNAcentral